Molecule: ribosomal RNA, 200 nt
Filed under: uncultured bacterium
Lineage: Bacteria
Description: partial 16S ribosomal RNA
Rfam family: Bacterial small subunit ribosomal RNA
Source: RNAcentral
AACGAACGCUGGCGGCAUGCCUAACACGUGCAAGUCGAACGAGUGCCUUCGGGUGCUAGUGGCGCACGGGUGCGUAACGCGUGGGAAUCUGCCCUUUGGUUCGGAAUAACAGUUGGAAACGACUGCUAAUACCGGAUGAUGACGAAAGUCCAAAGAUUUAUCGCCAGAGGAUGAGCCCGCGUAGGAUUAGCUAGUUGGUG